UUAGAUCGGAGAUUACAAGAAGGGAGAUUGGGGAAAACUCACAAGUAGAGACAUAUGAAUCUGAAUCAACAAAGUAAGUGAUGAAUCCCAAGCAAGAUUGUUUCUCUGAAUAAACCCACUAUUUUCGUUUCUUCUUCUUGGACUGUGUCUUUGUGUCCUCUUUUUUAUUCCAACAAUGGAAUCAGUCUUCUGUAUGUGUCUUCUCCUUCGUUUCAUCAAUGGGAUUAGUCAUUUCUGGCUGUAUGGGUCGAAUAUUCAUGGAAAAGUUUAGGUUUAGGUCGAAAAUCAAGAGUUUUAGUCCAUCGUUUAUUCUACUUCGGCUUCUUCAUAAGAGAAUUAGGUUCUUCAAUUUG
RNAcentral lists this long non-coding RNA (353 nucleotides) under Linum usitatissimum (flax). Its description in RNAcentral is "long non-coding RNA (LUSI_LNC007020)". The record is from RNAcentral. Lineage: Eukaryota; Viridiplantae; Streptophyta; Magnoliopsida; Malpighiales; Linaceae.